UACGGAGGGUGCAAGCGUUAAUCGGAAUUACUGGGCGCAAAGCGCACGCAGGUGGCUGAGUCAGUCGAUUGUGAAAGCCCUGGGCUUAACCUGGGAAUUGCAGUCGAUACUACUCAGCUAGAGUAUGGGAGAGGGCAGUGGAAUUCCCGGUGUAGCGGUGAAAUGCGUAGAUAUCGGGAGGAACAUCAGUGGCGAAGGCGGCUGCCUGGCCCAAUACUGACACUCAGGUGCGACAGCGUGGGGAGCAAACAGG
Molecule: ribosomal RNA, 253 nt
Filed under: uncultured bacterium
Lineage: Bacteria
Description: partial 16S ribosomal RNA
Rfam family: Bacterial small subunit ribosomal RNA
Source: RNAcentral